ACUCUCCACCAGCCGCUCGUAUCAUUCACUUCGUCUUUUCGGCUUUACGGAGCUCCCUUCUUCGGGGUUUAUCCUUUUCCGAUCUAAGCUCUUUCAUCUUCAUGGCUGUUCUCUUCGUUCUUCACAGAUUUAUCACAGAGUAAUCUCUUUUGCAGAUCCGUUCCUGUUUUUUCUCUUUGUUUUGUGAAUUUAUUUUGAAAUGGAUGUAUUUGAGGCUUCAUAAUCUGGUCAGUGUGGAUUUGAUCUGUUCCCAUUUGACUCGUUCCCUUGAAGCAAUAUCGAUCGUGAUACUUUUUCUCAAUCUCUCCCUUUGCUUUCUCUUAUAGCGCUUGGGAGAACACUGGAGUAGCUACAUCUUCUAUUAUCUUUCUGCUUUCUCUUCAUUUCGUUCUGAAAUUUCUGAUUGAAACGAUUUUUAUCUUCGCAACGGUGAUGAGCCUUUUGCAGACCUGUAAUGAUUUGCGAAUAUGAUCGCAAUAUCAUACGAACAUCUAAGGGACUGAGUUGCUUAGAUUUCUUCGACUUUUUUUUAUUUCUCGGUUCGAUUUUGAUUUUGAUUCUUUAAAUUCCUUUUAAAUCAGAGUAAAAACCCUAAUGGAAAAGCGUAAUGAGCGCUGAACACUCGACAACGGUUUGUUACCGAUUGAUUACUUUUCCAAGAUGAAUACCGGUUUGGUUUCGACAAUCAAAUUGGAGGCGGAAAGAAUCUUAGUGACAAACCCUAAAUUCUUCGGGCUUUAUGAUUUCCAGUGAAACAUAAUUUAUUUGAUGGGCCUUAAGUUUGUAUUGAAUUACAAUAUCUAUGUAUAAUAUAGAUUCUUCCGUAAAUGCUUUGCCUAUAAACUAAUUUAAAAAUUAAAUGGAAUAGAAUUUGAAUUUUUGUUUCGAUUCAAUUGAUAAAUCGGUCUUCCAGAGUUCCAACUUAACCAACCUAUCAUACUUCUAAUAUAAUAUAGUCAUCAGAUAUGAACUUUAUCAUUUUGGAACUACAUUAAUUUGAUUGAGAUGGCUAAAUAAGUAAUAUUAGAACUACGUUAAUUAAAUCACUCCUCGAAAUUUGUCUUUGUAUCAUGUAAACAAAAUUAAAAAUUUUGUUUUAAUGGGUGUAAUCGAAUACAAUUACAAAUAAUUUUAUGAACAUGAGCAAUAUACGAUCUUCUAUCAUGCCACAACCCCACAUACUCCUGCUCUUCGCUUUUCCCCACAGAACCCGACCUCGUAUGUGCCUCCAUAGUCUGCUUUCUCUUCUGGGUUCUCACCAAUCCCUCAAUUUCUCAUCGGAGCUGUUCCCUUUUUCUGUCCAUUUUCACUCACCACAGACCCUUUCCCUGAUAAGGUCACUAAAAUCUCCAUCGUGCUCUUUCCAGUCCCAGAUGGGAAUGUAGUUCAGAGCUUCUCGAUUUGAGACCCAAACUCAAGCCCCAUUGCGUAUUGAAGAUCCAUGAAAGCACACCAACACGGGUUCGGGCUUGUGCUUCUUCUGGAUUUGGAAGAGGCAUUUUGUCAAACAUAUUAUGUGUUGCUUUUUGUCGAUGUUGAGUACGGCAUGUACGGCAUCGUCACGGGUUCGGGUUCGGGCAAGUACGGCAUCGUCUUAUGCGCCUGCACACCAUGUAAGAAUUCUAAUGAUCAAUCCAUGUAGGAAUGAUCAAAAGGGGGUAAUUCAGUUUUUGAGUGAGAUAAUGUCAAAUUUUUCAUUAUGAUACUUGUCUAGAUGCAUUUACAUACACCUCUUUGAUUCUUCGGCAUUAUAUCGAUUUGGGUUUUGAUUCUUGACAUUUAGGAAUGCUAGUCUGGCACCUCUUUGAUUCUUGAGCAUUAUAGUAAAGAGAGGUCAGAGGAAGCCAUGAAUUUGCUUGAAGAAAUGGUUGAGAAGCGGAUUGAGGCAACUAUAUACACAUACACCAUUCCAAUAGUUUCAUUAUGUGAUGGCUCGUCGUUCUAGUGAGGCAGUAGAGCUUCACUAAUCAGUUUGUGGUUGCAAUUGGUCUAUAUCACAAGAUGUUGGCUGAUGGAUUGGUUCCGACAUCUGAUGAGGUUGUCUGGACAGUGUUUCUUGUGUCGGAUAGGGAAAUUAUUAUAGGUUUAUAAUCAAGCCUUUUGGUCCAAAACAAAGCUAUAAGACUUUAGACUCAAAGUGGACAAUAUCAUACUAUGGUCGAGAGUCAAAUGGAAAAUUUGAUUUAUUUGAUUCCAAGUUUGAAGCUUCUUCAUGUCAUGGAAUCAAGAAAUUGCACUCUCAAUUUCCAGACACAUAUUAUGUUGGCUGACGAGGUUGUUUGGACAGUGGUUCACUUACUUAUUUGAACAACCAGUGUUUUCAAUCUUCCAAUAUAAUUAUGGACCUUGGUAUUACGGGAUCCGAUAUGUCAACCAAGUUAAGGAUUGAAGACUAUUGCGAGUGAGUCCCGAUCAUGGGUUUAUGCUCAAAGUGGAAAAUAUCAUACCAUUGUGUAGAGUCUGUUCAUCUAACAUUUCCAUCCUUAAAUGCUCUCAAAUGCUCUCAAAGAAUAUGUUGAUAGCAAUCAUUCAGUGGACUCAUGAGGCAAUUUGAGGCUUCUGGGGUGAAGUGAUCAUUCCCUUGGCAGGUAAGCUUUCCAGCAGAUAUUGAUUUGGGACAGUAAGGACAUGUUUAGCUGAUGGGUAAUCUUCCUCCUCCCUCCUUAAUAAUUGUGUCAUCGUUAAUUGUAUUAUUGUCCUUCUCUUUCAUGUAUUAUAUUGAGGGGCCCUGAUUAAAGUCAUCUUUAAUGCAAAAUAUUCCUCCUGAA
This is a long non-coding RNA of Cucurbita pepo subsp. pepo (vegetable marrow), 2768 nucleotides long. RefSeq lists it as uncharacterized. Lineage: Eukaryota; Viridiplantae; Streptophyta; Magnoliopsida; Cucurbitales; Cucurbitaceae. The record is from RefSeq and is a predicted model, not a curated record.